CAUUUCAAUUCAAUUAAGGAAAGGAAGUUGCAAUUAUCAUGGCGGAAGGUGAGAAAUCAGCGGCGGCGGUUGUCCAUGGGGAGGAGCAGAUCCCGCCGGGGAAGGCGAUGAGCGCGGAGCAGCACAUGCUGGACAAGGGAGCUCAGAUGCUGCAGGCGUUGAAGCCGGUGAAGCAGAUGAAGCAGCACGUCUGUACUUUCGCGAUUUACAGCGAUGACAUGACCCGCCAAAUCGAGACUCACCAUUACGUGACUCGGGUCAACCAGGACUUCCUCCAGUGUGCUGUUUAUGAUUCCGACGAAUCGACGGGCCGCCUCAUAGGUGUGGAGUAUAUCAUAUCUGAUCGGACUUUUGAAACUUUGUCUCCUGAAGAACAGAAGCUGUGGCAUUCCCAUGCCUAUGAGAUCAAAUCAGGGUUGUGGGUGAAUCCUAGGGUUCCAGAAAUGGUUGUGAAGCCUGAACUGGAAAGUCUUGCCAAGACAUACGGCAAGUUUUGGUGCACUUGGCAAACCGACAGAGGGCAUAGGCUGCCGAUGGGUCCGCCGGCGCUGAUGAUGUCGCCGCAAGCGGCGGAGGGGGAGAGGGGGAAGGUGAGGGAGGAGAUGGUCAAGGUAAGGGACGACAAGUACAACAUAUCGAGCGAGGCUCUGAAGAGAAGCAGGGUGGAGAUUGCGGAGCCGGAGUGGAUUAAUCCCCAAGCGGACUACUGGAAGCAGCACGGCAAGGGCUUCGCCGUCCACGUCGAGCCAGCUGAGAUGAAGAAAAUAACUGGCAUUGACUUUCCGUAGCCAGAGAUACAGAUGAGAGAUCAUCUACCUAUAGUAAUUACUCGUACAAAUUAAUAAGCAAAUCUGUGUGUAAAGCCGUCGCCGCUCUUUUGUUUUUUUUGUUUCUUACCAUGGCUGGACCUGGAUCUGGACGUGUCUUGUAUUUUGACUAUAGGUAGAGGAGUUUUGGCAAUGAACGGAACAGCAGCAGCAGCAGCAGCAGCAGCAGCAGGAGAUUUGAUUUGGAAGUUUUGGAAGUGGUUUGAUUUGGUUUUACAUUGAACAAAAAUAUAGUAAAAUAUACGUGUAUAUAUGUAUAUAUAGAGUUUUUUCUUCUUGUUUUUUCCAAGCACAGGAACUUCAAUAUAAUAUUAUUCCCUGAAUC
Andrographis paniculata is the source of this 1152-nucleotide RNA transcript. It is a transcript of the gene named oil body-associated protein 2C-like, with no coding region annotated. The record is from RefSeq and is a predicted model, not a curated record. The transcript has 5 exons. Lineage: Eukaryota; Viridiplantae; Streptophyta; Magnoliopsida; Lamiales; Acanthaceae.